GGGCUGCACACGAGGGGUUCAACUCAACCAACGGCGUCUACACACUUUGCAAAAAACAGAGGGGAAAUGAAUGAAUGAAACAGACCCGCUCAGAUCAGGACCCAUCAGGGCGAUCGGCAGCGCAGAUGUGAUCGGCAGCUGGGGUCUGUGGAGGCCUCAGGGCCGGCGGCGGAGACCUCUCUACAGGCAGCUGGCCGGUGGACCGGGAGCCUUGCAAAGGGGGGCUCUGCAUUGCGGCCGAAUUGGAAAUUCGUCCUGGGAAGGCCCCAGGUCACCGGUGGCCCCACCUCAGUCAUUCCCUCCGAGCCAACCCCAGAAGGGCAUCAGUCAUCAAACUCCACCAAGAGUUCCAGGUCCCUGGGGCCUCAGCUCUACCCCAGCUUCCUGGGGGGAUGAAAACAUGCACACCUGCACCUGGAACCCAACCGAGAGCCUGAUGCCCAGGGAAGGGCAGUCAUGAAACGUCACCGGCGUGCCAACACCGGGGCAGUUUGGUCAGGUAAAGGCAACCAGUGCAGAGAAGCCCCCCAAACCGGGCCUGGCUCGUAAAGCCCCCGCAGCCUGUAGGCUCCGCUCCUGCCCCUCCGGCCCCAGGCCACCCCCGCUCCUUGGGCUGACGUGGUUAACACUCACAACCCAAACACUUGUUCAAAGCCCUGUUUGACCUGAAGUGGGCUCAGGCGUGGAGGCUCUGAGCCUAAAAGUCGCACCCCAGACUCAGAGGUGACAUUCUCAAGUGACAUUCUUGUUUGGUUUUUUUUUUUUCUUUUUUUUUUGAUUAUAAAAAAG
This is a long non-coding RNA of Hipposideros armiger (great roundleaf bat), 789 nucleotides long. RefSeq lists it as uncharacterized. The transcript has 5 exons. Lineage: Eukaryota; Metazoa; Chordata; Mammalia; Chiroptera; Hipposideridae. The record is from RefSeq and is a predicted model, not a curated record.